RNAcentral lists this ribosomal RNA (207 nucleotides) under uncultured bacterium. RNAcentral describes it as "partial 16S ribosomal RNA". It matches the Rfam family "Bacterial small subunit ribosomal RNA", at positions 143 to 334 of the family's 1533-position model. The record is from RNAcentral.
AUACCCUGCCGAAAGGCGGGCUAAUACAGCAUGACCCGCGGUGCUCUUUGGAGCGCUGUGGUAAAGCCGGCCUCUAUUCAUAUGCUGGCGCUUGGGGAUGGGUCCGCGGCCCAUCAGCUAGUUGGCGAGGUAAUGGCUCACCAAGGCGACGACGGGUAGCUGGUCUGAGAGGACGAUCAGCCACACUGGAACUGAGACACGGUCCAG